UACGUAGGGGGCAAGCGUUAUCCGGAUUUACUGGGUGUAAAGGGAGCGUAGACGGCUGUGCAAGUCAGAAGUGAAAGCCCGGGGCUCAACCGCGGGACUGCUUUUGAAACUGUGUAGCUAGAGUGCAGGAGAGGUAAGUGGAAUUCCUAGUGUAGCGGUGAAAUGCGUAGAUAUUAGGAGGAACACCGGUGGCGAAGGCGGCUUACUGGACUGUAACUGACGUUGAGGCUCGAAAGCGUGGGGAGCAAACA
Molecule: ribosomal RNA, 251 nt
Filed under: uncultured bacterium
Lineage: Bacteria
Description: partial 16S ribosomal RNA
Rfam family: Bacterial small subunit ribosomal RNA
Source: RNAcentral